This 479-nucleotide ribosomal RNA is filed under the name uncultured bacterium. Its description in RNAcentral is "partial 16S ribosomal RNA". It matches the Rfam family "Bacterial small subunit ribosomal RNA", at positions 28 to 507 of the family's 1533-position model. The record is from RNAcentral.
GAUGAACGCUGGCGGCGUGCUUAACACAUGCAAGUCGAGCGAGAAGUUUUGAAAAGAUUCUUCGGAUGAAAUUUAAAAUGGAAAGCGGCGGACGGGUGAGUAACGCGUAGGCAACCUGCCCCAUACAAAGGGAUAGCAUUUGGAAACGAAUAUUAAUACCUUAUGAAACUUAACUAGUGCAUGCUAGGUAGGUCAAAGAUUUAUCGGUAUGGGUUGGGCCUGCGUCUGAUUAGCUAGUUGGUGAGGUAACGGCUCACCAAGGGGACGAUCAGUAGCCGACCUAAGAAGAUGAACGGCCAAAUUGGAACUGAGACACGGUCCAAACUCCUACGGGAGGGAGCAGUAGGGAAUAGUGCAAAAUGGGGGAAAGCCUGAAGCAGCAACGCCGCGUGAACGAUGAAGGCCUGUGAGUCGUAAAGUUCUGUUCUAGGUGAUGAAAACUGACAGUAACCUAGGAGAAAGCCCCGGCUAACUCCGUG